RNAcentral lists this ribosomal RNA (730 nucleotides) under Reptalus panzeri. RNAcentral's name for it is "eukaryotic LSU rRNA". It matches the Rfam family "Eukaryotic large subunit ribosomal RNA", at positions 1280 to 1907 of the family's 3401-position model. The record is from RNAcentral. Lineage: Eukaryota; Metazoa; Arthropoda; Insecta; Hemiptera; Cixiidae.
GUGUAACAACUCACCUGCCGAAGCAACUAGCCCUGAAAAUGGAUGGCGCUCUAGCGUCGUGCCUAUACCGGGCCGUCAACGGCACAGUGGGUGUCUGUCCUUUGGGCAGAGCCGUUAAGCCUUGACGAGUAGGAGGGUCGCGGCGGUGUGCGCAGAAGGGUCAGGGCGUGAGCCCGCCUGGAGCCGCCGUCGGCGCAGAUCUUGGUGGUAGUAGCAAAUACUCUAGCGAGGGCCUGGAGGACUGACGUGGAGAAGGGUUUCUUGUGAACAGCCGUUGCACAAGAGUCAGUCGACCCUAAGCUCUAGGAGAAAUCCGAUGGCGAUGGGUGGCUAACAACGUACUUUAAACCACGUUGUGUGUUUUUCUUUAUGCCCCUGGCGGGCAAAAGGGAGUCCGGUUCCUAUUCCGGAACCCGGCUGCGUGACCGCAACUCAGCGGGCACUCGCCUGCGAGCGCUCGUCGGGGUAACCCAAACUGGCCCGGAGACGCCGGCGGGGGGUCUGGAAAGAGUUUUCUUUUCUUUAUAAGCGUUCGAGUACCCUGGAAUCCUAUAGCAGGGAGAUAGGGUUUGGAACGCGAAGAGCACCGCAGUUGCGGCGGUGUCCGGACCUUCCCCCCGGACCUUGAAAAUCCGGGUGAGGGCUACGCGGAAGUCGCGCCGGGUCGUACCCAUAUCCGCAGCAGGUCUCCAAGGUUAAGAGCCUCUAGUCGAUAGAAUAAUGUAGGUAA